AGUCGCCGCGGUAAUGCGAAGGGUGCAAGCGUUAAUCGGAAUUACUGGGCGUAAAGCGUGCGUAGGCGGUGAGUUAAGUCUGCUGUGAAAUCCCCGGGCUCAACCUGGGAAUGGCAGUGGAUACUGGCUCGCUAGAGUGUGUCAGAGGAUGGUGGAAUUCCCGGUGUAGCGGUGAAAUGCGUAGAGAUCGGGAGGAACAUCAGUGGCGAAGGCGGCCAUCUGGGACAACACUGACGCUGAGGCACGAAAGCGUGGGGAGCAAACAGGAUUAGAUACCCCCGUAGUCCCUGUCUCUUAUACA
This 301-nucleotide ribosomal RNA is filed under the name uncultured bacterium. RNAcentral's name for it is "partial 16S ribosomal RNA". It matches the Rfam family "Bacterial small subunit ribosomal RNA", at positions 510 to 808 of the family's 1533-position model. The record is from RNAcentral.